GGUACCUAAAGAAUAAGCACCGGCUAACUACGUGCCAGCAGCCGCGGUAAUACGUAGGGUGCGAGCGUUAAUCGGAAUUACUGGGCGUAAAGCGAGCGCAGACGGUUAGUUAAGCAAGAUGUGAAAUCCCCGAGCUCAACUUGGGAACUGCGUUUUGAACUGGCUAGCUAGAGUGUGUCAGAGGGGGGUAGAAUUCCACGUGUAGCAGUGAAAUGCGUAGAGAUGUGGAGGAAUACCGAUGGCGAAGGCAGCCCCCUGGGAUAACACUGACGUUCAUGCUCGAAAGCGUGGGUAGCAAACAGGAUUAGAUACCCUGGUAGUCCACGCCCUAAACGAUGUCAAUUAGCUGUUGGGCAACUUGAUUGCUUAGUAGCGUAGCUAACGCGUGAAAUUGACCGCCUGGGGAGUACGGUCGCAAGAUUAAAACUCAAAGGAAUUGACGGGGACCCGCACAAGCGGUGGAUGAUGUGGAUUAAUUCGAUGCAACGCGAAGAACCUUACCUGGUCUUGACAUGUACGGAAGAGAGUAGAGAUACUCUUGUGCCUUCGGGAGCCGUAGCACAGGUGCUGCAUGGCUGUCGUCAGCUCGUGUCGUGAGAUGUUGGGUUAAGUCCCGCAACGAGCGCAACCCUUGUCAUUAGUUGCCAUCAUUAAGUUGGGCACUCUAAUGAGACUGCCGGUGACAAACCGGAGGAAGGUGGGGAUGACGUCAAGUCCUCAUGGCCCUUAUGACCAGGGCUUCACACGUCAUACAAUGGUCGGUACAGAGGGUAGCCAAGCCGCGAGGUGGAGCCAAUCCCAGAAAACCGAUCGUAGUCCGGAUUGCACUCUGCAACUCGAGUGCAUGAAGUCGGAAUCGCUAGUAAUCGCAGGUCAGCAUACUGCGGUGAAUACGUUCCCGGGUCUUGUACACACCGCCCGUCACACCAUGGGAGUGGGGGAUACCAGAAGUAGAUAGGGUAACCGCAAGGAGCCCGUUUACCACGGUAUGUUUCAUGACCUGUCUCUUAUACACAUCU
RNAcentral lists this ribosomal RNA (1019 nucleotides) under Kingella kingae. RNAcentral describes it as "bacterial SSU rRNA". It matches the Rfam family "Bacterial small subunit ribosomal RNA", at positions 474 to 1493 of the family's 1533-position model. Lineage: Bacteria; Pseudomonadati; Pseudomonadota; Betaproteobacteria; Neisseriales; Neisseriaceae. The record is from RNAcentral.